CUUGGUCAUUUAGAGGAAGUAAAAGUCGUAACAAGGUUUCCGUAGGUGAACCUGCGGAAGGAUCAUUAGUGAAUUGAAUAUGUUAGCGGACCUCUUCGGAGUCCCUAGCAUCAAAUCAUACCCAUAACACCUGUGAACUGUAAGGCUGUCUUGAAAACGAAAGUGAUUAGAGCGCCUGCCCAUUUUAUACAAACAUUAAAGUAACAAACGUAGUCUUAUUAUAAUCUAAUAAAACUUUCAACAACGGAUCUCUUGGCUCUCGCAUCGAUGAAGAACGCAGCGAAAUGCGAUAAGUAAUGUGAAUUGCAGAAUUCAGUGAAUCAUCGAAUCUUUGAACGCACCUUGCGCUCUUUGGUAUUCCGAAGAGCAUGCCUGUUUGAGUGUCAUGAAAAUAUCAACCUUGACUUGGGUUUAGUGCUCUUGUCUUGGCUUGGAUUUGGCUGUUUGCCGCUCGAAAGAGUCGGCUCAGCUUAAAAGUAUUAGCUGGAUCUGUCUUUGAGACUUGGUUUGACUUGGCGUAAUAAGUUAUUUCGCUGAGGACAAUCUUCGGAUUGGCCGAGUUUCUGGGACGUUUGUCCGCUUUCUAAUACAAGUUCUAGCUUGCUAGACAUGACUUUUUUAUUAUCUGGCCUCAAAUCAUGUAGGACUACCCGCUGAACUUAAGCAUACCAAUAAGCGGAGGAAAAGAAACUAACAAGGAUUCCCCUAGUAACGGCGAGUGAAGCGGGAAGAGCUCAAAUUUGAAAUCUGGUGGCCUCAGGCUAUCCGAGUUGUAAUCUAUAGAAACAUUUUCCGCGUUGGCCCAUGUACAAGUCUCUUGGAAUAGAGCGUCAUAGAGGGUGAGAAUCCCGUCCUUGACAUGGACUACCAGUGCUUUGUGAUAUGUUUUCAACGAGUCGAGUUGUUUGGGAAU
Molecule: small RNA, 913 nt
Filed under: uncultured Cryptococcus
Lineage: Eukaryota; Fungi; Basidiomycota; Tremellomycetes
Description: eukaryotic LSU rRNA
Rfam family: Eukaryotic large subunit ribosomal RNA (bases 627-913)
Source: RNAcentral